This is a non-coding RNA of Pelobates cultripes (western spadefoot toad), 404 nucleotides long. Lineage: Eukaryota; Metazoa; Chordata; Amphibia; Anura; Pelobatidae. The record is from the annotation of a GenBank genome assembly.
CUAUUGUGGCAGCUGCCGUGACAGCCGCCAUGGCAGGGGGGUCAUUUAUGGUCAAGGUCAUGGAUUACAUGAACCUCGCCAACAUAGCCGGGCUCUGACAAAACUGGCCUUGUCCACCAGAACUCAACACGCUUGCUACAGGGUUUUCCACUUAUACAAUACGUUUCAUGUCGGACCAUCACUUAGAUAGCUGGUUUGAGGUUUCACCACUUAUGGCCUUCACCUCUUUUUGCCACCUUAAGUUAAAAAUUCUCGCACAACACAGUUAAACUUAUCUCACGGGCAUUCAACACUAUACGUAUUUCUCCUUCCCAAACAACAAGGGUUCCUAUCCUCCUACCCCAUCCAUACCUUACUUAGAGACAUAGCCAAGCGGACGUUCCCGCUAAAACUAAAUACUGGCC